Molecule: non-coding RNA, 333 nt
Organism: Callithrix jacchus (white-tufted-ear marmoset)
Lineage: Eukaryota; Metazoa; Chordata; Mammalia; Primates; Cebidae
Source: RefSeq, a predicted model, not a curated record
UGCCUCAGUCUCCGCAGUAGCUGGAACUACAGGGAACAUGACAUCCUCUUCCCAGGGUACACCCACCUGCAGAGGGCCCAACCCCAUCACUGGAGCCACUGGAUUCUGAGCUGAGUUCCUGUUCUAGGCUUCAUUCUGCAUGACCCAUCUCAGCAGGAUGGCCAGGGACCUCAUCCUCUGUGGCACCAAGGAAUUCAGCUUCAUGUAGCUCUCAGAUGCCUACAGGAUCCAUGGAGCACGUAACACAUCCUGAUGCUGUUCUCAGCCUUCUAUGGCCUCUUGGUCACCGUUUCCUACCAUCUGAGCUGGCAGAGAAGUGACCCAUCUGUGUUC